Long non-coding RNA from Felis catus (domestic cat), 1185 nucleotides. RefSeq lists it as uncharacterized. Lineage: Eukaryota; Metazoa; Chordata; Mammalia; Carnivora; Felidae. The transcript has 3 exons. The record is from RefSeq and is a predicted model, not a curated record.
GGUAGCAUUCUAACAGUAAGACACAGUUGAGGAAGAAUUCACUCAGUUACCUGAUGGAAAGUUAUGCAGCCAUAGUAAUGAUUGUCCAAUCACUCGUUGAGCCAAUUAUAUUAUGAACACCUACCAUGUGUCAAACACUGCGUUCACAGCUAAGGACAUAAUGAUUGAGACAGAAAGAGUCUCCGCUCCAAAGACUUUCAAGUCUACUAUCAGCCACAAAUUGACGUGGAACAAAUAAUUACCCCCAGAAAUAUUUAUUUUGUGUGUCACUAAGUUUUAUUAAGAAAAUAAGCCGGUUGCCGUAGAGCGUAAACAAAGAAAAGGAACAAUCUGAUCUACAGAGGAGUAAUUAGUGAAGGCAUUUCUAGAGAAUGGCUGGGAGUUCGUAGAACACAGGGCAUUACGACAUCAGAAGAUGGAAAGUGGUUUAUGAAUGGGAUUUAUAUGGUAAGAUGCAAAUGUGCCCCUGCUGUGAUUUCAAUGAUGGGCUAGAGAAAUCCUAACAUUUAUGGAACCCGAAUAUGUGCCAGGCACUCAAGGCUUCGGGCCCUGGAGACACCUGUCGCAGGGAACGCCGGGCUGGGACGUUGGCUGCACACCCUGAAACCCAGCCACAGGUGCAGAAGCUACCACCUCUAAGAAUCACAGUGACACCUGCUGAGGGACCGGGACCAGGACUCCUUUCCCUGCUGGUGGCUCCCCGGGAGGCGGCCUCUGGAGUAGCCCUCAGGGGACUGCCUUGUGAAUAUUCAUGAUUCGUACUUUUCCCUGGUUCUCCCUCUGCCUUCGAGUACAGACCUUACAAAUAAGGAAUACUUCAUAUCACCUGGAUAUAGUGCUGAGCAACAUUUCUUGGACGUUCAUUAUCAUCCUGUACCACAUUUUGGUGUGUGAUGAUUGGCAUCUUAUUCAGCAGAAUGAUUCCACAUUGUGUGAAGCCCAGGGAUUUAGGAUGUAUGCAGAACUGGAUCUAAUCAUCCCAAUUCUAUUUCGUAUGUUGAAUUAUGCCAUGAUAAGCCACACAACAACCAAGUGAGGAUCCUGGUUUUGGCUCCCUCUUUGCAUCAUUUCCCACUACCUCCCCACAUCUGAGGCAUUAUUCUUUGCCGUCUUGCACUGGACUUCCAUUUUUUCCCCCUUUAUACGAUAGCCAGAGUGAUUCGCACAAAAAUAAAAAUCUGUCCA